RNAcentral lists this ribosomal RNA (305 nucleotides) under uncultured bacterium. RNAcentral's name for it is "bacterial SSU rRNA". It matches the Rfam family "Bacterial small subunit ribosomal RNA", at positions 332 to 637 of the family's 1533-position model. The record is from RNAcentral.
UUAACCUACGGGAGGCAGCAGUGAGGGAUAUUGGUCAAUGGCCGAGAGGCUGAACCAGCCAAGUCGCGUGAGGGAAGACGGCCCUACGGGUUGUAAACCUCUUUUGUCGGGGAGCAAAGCGAGUCACGUGUGACUCAUUGAGAGUACCCGAAGAAAAAGCAUCGGCUAACUCCGUGCCAGCAGCCGCGGUAAUACGGAGGAUGCGAGCGUUAUCCGGAUUUAUUGGGUUUAAAGGGUGCGUAGGCGGUCCGUUAAGUCAGCGGUAAAAUUGCGGGGCUCAACCCCGUCGAGCCGUUGAAACUGGC